AACGCACAUUGCGCUCCUCGGUAUUCCGGGGAGCAUGCCUGUUCGAGCGUCAUUGCAUCUCUCAAGCGUAGCUUGGUAUUGGAUAUUUCGUCUGAAAGGACGUGUCCGAAAGUGAGUGGCGGUGAAGUAUGACUUCAAGCAUAGUAAAUUUUAUCCUGCUUUGGAAGCUCCUGCUUUGACUUGCCAAAACCCACCAUAAUUUCAAUGAUUGACCUCGGAUCAGGUAGGGAUACCCGCUGAACUUAA
Molecule: unclassified non-coding RNA, 246 nt
Filed under: Fusarium sp.
Lineage: Eukaryota; Fungi; Ascomycota; Sordariomycetes; Hypocreales; Nectriaceae
Description: partial contains 5.8S ribosomal RNA, internal transcribed spacer 2, and large subunit ribosomal RNA
Rfam family: 5.8S ribosomal RNA (bases 1-52)
Source: RNAcentral